Molecule: long non-coding RNA, 3985 nt
Organism: Homo sapiens (human)
Lineage: Eukaryota; Metazoa; Chordata; Mammalia; Primates; Hominidae
Gene: SOX2-OT
Product: SOX2 overlapping transcript
Source: Ensembl
AUACAAGAGAGAACAAAAUGGUUAUUCAGGGGAACGCUUUCGAUUUUUAUUGUGGGUAGCCUGCACAAAGAGCCGUGUUAUUGUAUUUAAAAGAACCAUCUGUAGCAGAAACAAUGGCAUCAAAUUAUCUUUGAAUACCCACUGAAAAAACAUAAAGCUUUUUUUUUUAUUCUUCUUCUGUACGGUGGGGGGAUAGAGCAGUGUUAGGAUAACUGACUUUUUUGUUGUUCUCUGGGUGCAUUCUUCUCGCUCCCCCUCUCUCUCCCCCUCACCCUCUCUCUCUUCUCUCUCUCCCUCUCCCUCUCUCUCUCUCUCUCUCUUUUAAAAAAUCAGCCAUUUGGGGUUUUAAGCCAUAAACGAUUUUUCUUGUUGCAGGGGAUUGCAGUGGCAAAGCUAGGCUAGGUCUUGGAGGCUGGUGUAAGGCGAUGUGGGUGAAGGCAGGAGGCUGAUGGAAAGACUGGGGGGAAGAAAAGCCGAAAUGGAUUCACGGUGCCUUGGAUGAAGGACGAGAGGGGAACUGCAAGCUCCUUCAACUGGUUCUGUCCGGUGAGAAGUGAUCAAGCUUGGGCUGACAAGAGGCUCAGGGAGCCCUCACGUUCUUUCGCUUUUUUACCUGCCAAUCAAACUGCUACAAGACAACACCCUGAUCUGGCAUGGACAUAUCCAACUUAGAAAUAAUGUUUCAUUCAAGAUAAGGCUCGUGGCUUAGGAGAUUGUGACCUGGCUUGCAUCAUUCUAAGACUUCUAUCGUCUGUUUUCAAAACCCAAGGAGGACCUCCUUUUCUGUGUGAUAGUUCCUCAUGCUUUGCCAGCCACUGGGUCUUUAAGGAAGCUUGCCAAGAGUUCCCGGCUGGGAAGGACAGUUCGAGUUCAUCAUAGACAAUGAGCUGGCACCACAGUUUAAGUGACUCACCAACCUGGUUGCCCACUUCAAAAUGUCAAGAACCACACUAUCUAAUUGAAAGAACUGUGUUUUAGCAAAGUGUAAUUGGAUCGCCUGGCAAGAUCAUCUCAAACUAUGUCUCUGACCUUGCCUUUCAGUGGCUAUUUUGAGCACAAGAGGAGAAAGGAAAUGAUUCCUGAAUUAUAUCUUGUUUUUAAAAAUUAAGAUUAAUUAAUACUUGGUUUUAUGUUCAUUCCAUUGUAGGAACUUAGUGAUUAUUACAAAACAGUCAAAAUAGGUCAUAGCAAAAUGAACGUUUAAGAUUAGGUUAAAACAUUCCUCUGAAAUUUUAGUAUUCACUUUUGAAGUGUCAAUUACUAUAUUUCUGUAAUUUCUCAUUUUUUUCUUGGCUUAGAGUCAAGAUGAAAAAUGAUAUUUGAAUCAAAGACAUUGUUUUGUUAUAUAGCCACUCCUUUCUAAAAUGCAAAUCCACCCUCCCCUCACCAAUGCUUUAUUCUUUGUGCGCGCACACACACACACACACACACACACACACACACACACACACAGACAUACACAGAACCAGCACCCAAAUGGUAGAGGAGGUCCUUCCAAGACUUCUAGGACCUGGAUCAUGUAAGCAGUAGAUGAGAAAAUGAAGUAAGAGAUAUAGAGUAAUAACAAUAAAAGUCAAUGAUUUCAUUUUACAAAAAAGUCAUUGUGUAGUACUCAGAUAUUUUUAAGAGCAAGUAUUAUUAUGACUAAAGUAUAUUAUACUUCUAAAUUAUUAUGAUUCUCAUCUAAUUUCAAGCCACACAUAGGCGCCAUUUGAAAGCAUUUUGUGUUACAACCUAUCAACAAAAAUCAACUAAUAGUUUUAUAACGUGCAUAGGUUUACCCCAUGGGGAAUUAAAAUUUUUAUCUGCAAGUAUUUCUGUUGUUGUGAGACUUUAGGACAAGACAACAUUUGGUGUUAACAUAGAAGAAUAUUCUAUGGCUUUUUUAGCUUUAAAGUUCAUUACUCUAAAAUAAAGUACACGUGGUAUUUUUUUCUUCCUAGUGUUCUCUUAUUAUAUGUAGAGUAUUUUCGGUUGUUGUUUUUAACGUAUACAUUAUUUUUAUUAAGUCAUUUCAUAAAAGAUAAGAUAUAUACUAAUAGACCCUUGGUUUUCUCCUAAUUUAAUUAUUUCAAGUCAAGCAAAAUUGGGCAAUUUUCUUUCAGGAAAAAAAAAAUAUUGAGCAUGAUUUUGAGGUAAAACUGAUUAUUUACAGCAUCUUUUCUCUAAUAGGCUAACAUUUAUGAUGGAUCUUAUUUCAAAGUUGAUUAUUCUCAAAGAAAAGUGGAGAUAUUAGAAUUUCCGAGUAAAUUGCAUUGUUUUAAAAAGUACUUUAAUGCAUUGUUCACAUUGUUGCCAGCUAUUGACCAAAAAAGAGAAGAAGAAAAAAGAAAUAAAAAAAGCAGUAUCUGCUCCAAACGUCAAGUUUUGCAGUUUGAAAGACUUGUACAUUAUAAUUGUUUUUUUCUUUUUUGGAAAGCAGUAGUAAUUAAUACCAAAGGCAUAGACAAUUUAGGGCCAUAACCUCCCUUCCCCCCUCUCCACCUUUUUUUUUUUUUUUUUUUUUUUUUAACUUUAACCAUGAUAGGCAUCUCUGCAAGGUAGGUUUUAACAUAUUUUUUUCCUAAUUUUUUUCCCUCCAUUCAGUAAGAAGGAUAAGCUUUUAGAGUACCCAGUCACCGUGGUAACUGCCAAAAAAAUUCUCCUGAAGUUUGAAGAGGUCAGCUAGCAGGGUCAACAACCCUGGCCUCUCUCUGAGCUCGGUCUAGCAUGCCCCAGCCUGCGGUUGGAGUGUCAGGCCAGAUCUGACCCUGGGAGGUGGACCAUUCUGGCUCUGAUAUAAAUUUUUCGAGUCAGUUCAUGGCCUGGACUCUCCAGGUGGCCUCCAAAAUCGAUUUUGACCCCCUGACCCUGUCUCACGGAGGCAUAGCAUCCACCCUAAGUAAGGAUUUAGCCAGGAAUGACAGCUUUCCACUGAGUGUUAUUGGGGACAGUAUAAACAGUUUGGAAAGCAAGUAAGGAGGUGUGAGGGCUAGCAAUCAUUAAAAGCACAUUAAAAAACAAUUUUUAAAAAUCUUUAUUAGAGAAAGUUGUAAAUGCAUAUCUGUUACAGAAUUCCUGUGAUUUGUAGAGUUUUCUAGUCAGUUUUGAAUAUAAAUAGGUCACAUAUCUUUAUCUUUUUGCAUACUUUGUUACAAAUAUGCAAAUAAGAUAGGCAUACUUGCUACAAAAUAGGUACAGCAGGAAUGUAAUAUGUUCAGAAAAGGCAAACUGGUUAUUAAAACACAUUAACAGGUAAGGAGUUUCUAAUAUUUUAAAUACUAAAAUUUUACAUGUGUAUUUUGAAGUUUUUAAAAUGGAAAAAUAAAGAACCUUUAAAAAACCCAACAGUGUGGAAUAAAGAUAAACUUGUUGCACUCAAGGUACAUUUCUACUUUGUAAAGCAAGAAGCCAAUACACUCAGUUGGAUAAAAAUGAGAGAAAAAUUGUAAAUAUAGAGAGUUACAGCUUAUAGAGCUGAAGAGGAAUAAAACAAAAAAAAGUGUCUCUGAAUAACUUUAUGUAUUUUCAACAGUUUAAGAUAUCAGAAACUUGGAAAAUAAAUAUGAUAUAUAUAUAAAUCAUCAGUGAUUAUUUCCUUUUCAUUCCCCCCCGCCCCCAGGAUGCCACCGUGAGUGUUUGAUUUUCUCUAGGAAAGUAGAAUUCUCUUUGAGAGUUCUAGCCUGUGAACUCAGUAUGUAAAUGUGGCCAUCAAGAAGACAGAACUGCCAAGAGGAAAGAUUAUGAAUGUUUUUCUUCCUUAAAACCAUUCACAGUGUUUCUUCUUCCAGUGCUUUACUCAGACUUCUCCCCUUUUCCCAGCUCUGUUGAAAAUGGCUUCAAAAGCAACACUGCAGUGGCUAAACCAAUUGUACUGUGAAGUUGUUGAGAUGCCAUUUCAUCUGAAUCCUUCGUAAAAAUUAGAUUUUUAAGUAGGGGUGAAUAUCCUUUUGGGAGAGGGAAUGGGAGGGUAGAAGAAGGGGGGAAAGGACAGAGCAGUUUAUAU